CCUCCGAUAGCUCAAUGGUAGAGCGCCGGUGUACUUUACCGGAGACGUUGGUUCGAGUCCAACUCGGAGGG
Molecule: transfer RNA, 71 nt
Filed under: Stereum hirsutum FP-91666 SS1
Lineage: Eukaryota; Fungi; Basidiomycota; Agaricomycetes; Russulales; Stereaceae
Description: tRNA-Ser (ACT) (tRNA-Ser-ACT-3-1)
Rfam family: tRNA
About the family: Transfer RNA (tRNA) molecules are approximately 80 nucleotides in length.
Source: RNAcentral